GACGAACGCUGGCGGCGUGCUUAACACAUGCAAGUCGAACGGAAAGGCCUGCUUUCCCUUGUGGAUUGCGGGUACUCGAGUGGCGAACGGGUGAGUAACACGUGAGUGAUCUGCCCCCAACUUGGGUAUAAGCCUGGGAAACUGGGUCUAAUUCCCGAUAGGACUGCAGGGUGGUGCCUGUGGUGGAAAACGAUUUUCUAGUGGUUGGGGAUGAGCUCGCGGCCUAUCAGCUUGUUGGUGGGGUAAUGGCCUACCAAGGCGGCGACGGGUAGCCGGCCUGGGAGGGUGGACGGCCACAUUGGGACUGAGAUACGGCCCAGACUCCUACGGGAGGCAGCAGUGGGGAAUAUUGCACAAUGGGCGGAAGCCUGAUGCAGCGACGCCGCGUGGGGGAUGACGGCCUUCGGGUUGUAAACUCCUUUCGACCGCGAUGAAGCCACCUGGUUGGAAGGGUGGUGACGGUAGUGGUAGAAGAAGCACCGGCUAACUACGUG
RNAcentral lists this ribosomal RNA (494 nucleotides) under uncultured bacterium. RNAcentral describes it as "partial 16S ribosomal RNA". It matches the Rfam family "Bacterial small subunit ribosomal RNA", at positions 28 to 507 of the family's 1533-position model. The record is from RNAcentral.